RNAcentral lists this ribosomal RNA (468 nucleotides) under uncultured bacterium. RNAcentral describes it as "partial 16S ribosomal RNA". It matches the Rfam family "Bacterial small subunit ribosomal RNA", at positions 28 to 507 of the family's 1533-position model. The record is from RNAcentral.
GACGAACGCUGGCGGCGUGCUUAGCACAUGCAAGUCGAACGGAAAGGCCCUGCUUUUGUGGGGUGCUCGAGUGGCGAACGGGUGAGUAACACGUGAGUAACCUGCCCUUGACUUUGGGAUAACUUCAGGACACUGGGGCUAAUACCGGAUAGGAGCUCCUGCUGCAUGGUGGGGGUUGGAAAGUUUCGGCGGUUGGGGAUGGACUCGCGGCUUAUCAGCUUGUUGGUGGGGUAGUGGCUUACCAAGGCUUUGAUGGGUAGCCGGCCUGAGAGGGUGACCGGCCACAUUGGGACUGAGAUACGGCCCAGACUCAUACGGGAGGCAGCGGUGGGGAAGAUUGCACAAUGGGCGGAAGCCAGAUGCAGCAACGCCGCGUGCGGGAUGACGGCCUUCGGGUUGUAAACCGCUUUCGCCUGGGACGAAGCGUGAGUGACGGUAAUGGGUAAAGAAGCACCGGCUAACUACGUG